GGCGAUGGGAGCUCGGUUAGGUCGAGCAGUAGAUUGUGAAUCUAAAGGUCACGGGUUCGAGUCCCGUUCUUCGCC
Molecule: transfer RNA, 75 nt
Filed under: Paralemanea sp.
Lineage: Eukaryota; Rhodophyta; Florideophyceae; Batrachospermales; Lemaneaceae
Description: tRNA-His
Rfam family: tRNA
About the family: Transfer RNA (tRNA) molecules are approximately 80 nucleotides in length.
Source: RNAcentral